Molecule: unclassified non-coding RNA, 336 nt
Filed under: soil metagenome
Description: partial contains 5.8S ribosomal RNA, internal transcribed spacer 2, and large subunit ribosomal RNA
Rfam family: 5.8S ribosomal RNA (bases 1-120)
Source: RNAcentral
GAUGAAGAACGUAGCGAAAUGCGAUAAGUAGUGUGAAUUGCAGAAUUCAGUGAAUCAUCGAAUCUUUGAACGCACAUUGCGCCCCUUGGUAUUCCAUGGGGCAUGCCUGUUCGAGCGUCAUUUGUACCUUCAAGCUUUGCUUGGUGUUGGGUGUUUGUCUCGCCUUUGCGUGUAGACUCGCCUUAAAAUAAUUGGCAGCCGGCGUAUUGAUUUCGGAGCGCAGUACAUCUCGCGCUUUGCACUCAUAACGACAGCGUCCAAAAGUACAUUUUACACUCUUGACCUCGGAUCAGGUAGGGAUACCCGCUGAACUUAUGCAUAUCAAUAAGCGGAGGA